Molecule: unclassified non-coding RNA, 677 nt
Filed under: Onthophagus medius
Lineage: Eukaryota; Metazoa; Arthropoda; Insecta; Coleoptera; Scarabaeidae
Description: sequence contains 5.8S rRNA gene and ITS2
Source: RNAcentral
CUUCGAACGCACAUUGCGGUCUUCGGAUACUGUUCCUGGACCACUCCUGGCUGAGGGUCGUUUCAAUUUCCACGACUGCCGGGCGUUGUAUGCACCGCCAAGUACGGUGCUCGCCGAGGCAAAUAUAUGGCCGUUCGCGAUAAGCCGUAACGUCGUUCGUCUCGUAUAGCCCCGCUCUAGUACGGAGGCGGCGGAACGAGUCUGACGUAAGCUAUAUCGCGUCGGUUUAAAUUACCGCCACUAAAAUAUGGUUCGCGGCGAACAGCGUGUAUUAUGUUGUGUUAUAUACGCCCGUCGGAACUCGAUUGUGGUCGACGUGUCAGAGACAAGACCGAGGAUGAAAUGCUUGCAUAUUCGUUAUCCCGAGUUUUGCGUUGCGGGGAACGGGUGUCGUCGUAUUAGUCAGGUGUAAACGGGUUCAGCGAUAACUACUGUGUGAUGUACGACGACCACGAAGUCCGUCGUCUUCUCAUUAUUAUGUCGCGAUAACUUUACAUAGACGGACGACAGAUAGCCACGUUUAACCAACCGUCGUCAGACCUAUCGGUUCGAAAUUUGCCGCGGGUUUAACUUUUUUAGCUCGUCGCCCAUCGAAGCGACGGCGGAGAACACCCGCGUGCGAAUAACGGGCGUGCCGUUUGUGUGACCAUAGGCGUGUUUGUAAAUUUUAUGAACGA